CUCUGGGUCAGGCUACGGGUCUGGGAGUGGUGGAGCUCAAGGCGGCGGCUAUGGGUCUGGGGGUAGUGGAGCUCAUGGUGGCAGCUAUGGGUCUGGGGGUGGUUAUGGAAAUUCAGGAGGUGAAGGUGGUGGUGGAGGUUGAGGUUGAGGAAGAAACAAGCACGGCUGAUAAGAUAUUGGCCGAGAGUUUAGGGUUUCAUGAGCCCCAGAGGCCAGUGUGUAGUGUGUACUAUGAUAACCAUAUUAUAACUAGCUAGAUAUACAUGUGUGUAAGCUUUUCAAUAAAUAAUCACAAGACUUUGACAAAGAAUAUAAGUAUUGCUAGUAUAUUUAUAUUUUCGAGUGGCAGUUCAUAGUUUGUUGAGUUGCCAAUUCUCUGGCUUAUGUUUGUGAAAUGAUCACUUUUUGUCUACUAAUAUUUCUCUUUAGACCAUCUGCAAUAGCUGGGCUAAAAGCCAAAUAUAUUAACCUGGAAAAUUUAUUUUUUAGCUCAUAAACAGUUUUUCUGCUCCAACCGUUCUAGCCUAAAAUUUUAGCCUGAAAUUAUUAAAGAAUGAAUUUAGGCUAUUUUUUUUGUUAAAUUAAUUUAAAAAAAUAAAAAUAAAUAUGUAGACUAUCGUAAAUUAAUUUUAUGAAUAUUUUAAUCUAAAAAAAUUUAAAUUCCGAUAAUUAUUGAAAAAUCACUCAAUUUUCCACAAAGAAAGCCUUCAACUUUCACCAAUCUUUCAACCCUAGGUGAAUUUUGAGUUAAAUAAUUUUUUUUAAUUAUUUUAGCCGUUGGAUUUAAAUUUGGGCCGUUAGAUCUUCUUUUUUUACCGUUAGAUUUGAUUAAAUUCGAUCUCAGUCGUUGGAUUCAAUAAUAUAUAAAUAUAAAAACAAAAAAAAUUGAAUCUAGGCCAUUGGAUUAACCAACGGCCUGUAGAUCGUGAUCGUUGGAUGGAAGUAGCCGUUGGAGGCGCUGCGGAACGUGGCCGACAGGCCCACGUGGGCAGGGCCCUAGCUGUUUGAGGCGUCGUGCGUUGCGCUAGUUGGGCGAGUGGGUGGGCUGCGUUUGGUGCACAAACGCCCCUUUUCACUCGGUUCGAUGGAGCCCACUCCGAUUUCUGGGCUAAGUUUUGGAGGGAAUCUGGUCUUGGUUUAGCAUUUAGCAUUUAGCCCAAAUUUUCCCCUUGGGUUGGAUUGGGUUUGUGGGGAAAUUUUUGGAGGUAAUUUGAUUUUUAGCCCACCAUUGGAGUUGGUCUUAAAAUACUAAAAGAAAGUUUCACAUUUGACUAACCCUUUUUUCAUAUACUUCGUCUAAUUUUGUUGUAGCUAUUUGGGUUAUAUCACUAAUUGCUUUUGGUCGAUAUACUUAUAUUUUUCUUCUCAGAAUUGAAAGAAACCUUCAAGUUUGGAUCAACGACGCUUUUGGUAAACUUUUUUGUAAAAAUACUUUUGAAAAAAAAAAAACCGUAUUAUAGUGUUUGGUAAACUUUUAUUUAAAACAGAUGUGAAAAAAAACCGGUUUUUCAAAGCUGGGUUUUGCAGCUUCUUGUUUUUGGUUUUUUUUCACCCAAAACUGUGAAAAAAGCUGAAGCUGAAUGUUUACCAAAUACAAAAAAUCUCUCAGCUUUUUUUUUAUACCAGUUUUUUUCAGAAUCACCUUAGUACCAAACCAGGCCAUAGUACCCUGUGGAUAAACAAAAAUGUUACUCUUAUUACCUAUUUGUACCAUCUCUCUAAUAGAAACGGAAGCCACAUGCGUUGAUGGGGCUUAACUCUAUUAGUGAGAUGGUGGAGCUGGUGGAGGUGGAGGUUGAAGAAGAAACAACCACGGCUGAUGAGAUAUUGGAUGAGAGUUUAGGGCUUCAUGAGCCCCAGAGGCCAGUGUGUAGUGUGUACUAUGAUAAAGCAUAUUAUAACUAGCUAGAUACAUGUAUGUAAGCUUUUCAAUCAAUAUUCACAAGACAUUGACAAAUAAUAUAAAGCAUUGCUGGUAUAUUUAAUAUUUUCGUGUAGUAGUUCAUAGUUUGUUGAGUUGCCACUUCUCUCGCUUAUGUUUUUCAUUUAGCGGAUAAUUUUCAGUCGAUUGAUAAUUUUUUGAAGAAAUUAGGUUCCUAUUCCUAUUUUUUCUAUUUCAUUAAUUAAAACUCUUAUUUAUUUUCAAAUUUUUAUCAAGGUCAUUGGGUUUUAAUAAACGUCACUAGUUAUUUUAAAAUAAAAUAUUUACAUGUCAAGAUAAUUAAAUUUUAUUUUUAAAUAUAUUCAUUUAGUGUCAAAACUUUUUCUUUUGGUAUAUUUAUAUUUAUGGCUAAAAUUUUUAUCAUAUAUUUCUAUUUUGUACCCAUUUUUAGUUUGCAACCUUUUUUUAAAUUGUACCAAUUUUCUUUUAAAUUUUAAUUUGUACCCAUAUAUUAAUUUCUUUUUGUCCCUUAUUUUUUAAACUUUUAUUUGUACUCAAAAUAUUUUUAACCUUUUAUGACACACCCCGUCCCGAAGGAGGGCAUGCUGGCCGUCACGUGAGAGUGACGUAACCAUUUACACAGUACGGAAGCUUUAAGAUACAAUUUAUAAGUUGAUACACCCGAAGGUGAGUCCUAAUUUUGUCCAAUCUGUCAGAACACUGUCAAAUUCCUCGUAGUCACCACACCUUUGUGAUUCCUGAACCUGGAGGGGCGCAAAACCAAAAUUGAGUGGGUCAGUAAAACAAUUCUUUUCAAAUCCAACUUUUCUCAAAACAUUGUAACCCUUCUCCGUAAAACCUGUAUACUUUCCCAGAAAUAUAAAAUAUAAAUAUACAUAUAUAUAUUCUCAAUACUUCAAGUCAUUAACUCAACAUUUUCAUCAUAAUUAUGCCAUGCCACAUCAUCUCAACAUUUCUCAUAUUAAUUAUGCCAUGCCACAUCAUCUCAACAGUAAUA
Molecule: long non-coding RNA, 2900 nt
Filed under: Malus domestica (apple)
Lineage: Eukaryota; Viridiplantae; Streptophyta; Magnoliopsida; Rosales; Rosaceae
Description: long non-coding RNA (MDOM_LNC007128)
Source: RNAcentral